This is a non-coding RNA of Oryza punctata, 200 nucleotides long. The record is from Rfam. NCBI's taxonomy places the organism in Eukaryota, Viridiplantae, Streptophyta, Magnoliopsida, Poales, Poaceae.
CUUCCGUCGUAUUUUUUCAUGUUCAACGUUUAACCGUCCAUCUUAUUUGAAAAAUUUAUAAAAAAAUUAAAAAAUUAGUCACACAUAAAGUGCAAUUCAUGUUUUAUUAUUUAAUAACAAUAAAAAUAUUGAUUAUAAAAAUUUUUCAAAUAAGACAGACGAUCAAAUAUUGAACAUUAACAAUCAAAACUGCAUUUUUU